ACAUUAUGAUUUGGGCAUUGAGCCAUCUUACCAUUAAACCUCUCCCAAGAUUCAAACAAUGACUCUCCAUUCAUUUGUCAAAAAUUCACAAUAUCGUCCCUCUUUU
RNAcentral lists this small nucleolar RNA (106 nucleotides) under Capsicum annuum. RNAcentral describes it as "Plant small nucleolar RNA R71". It matches the Rfam family "Plant small nucleolar RNA R71". From Rfam's summary of the family: R71 is a member of the C/D box family of snoRNAs containing the C (UGAUGA) and D (CUGA) box motifs. Multiple nearly identical copies of this snoRNA have been identified in Arabidopsis, and it is thought to function as a 2'-O-ribose methylation guide for 18S ribosomal RNA. The record is from Rfam by way of RNAcentral. Lineage: Eukaryota; Viridiplantae; Streptophyta; Magnoliopsida; Solanales; Solanaceae.